GUUUGAAAGCGUACUUUCAUAUUUCUAUAAUACAUUAAUGAAUUAUGUUUAUUAUUUUGAAGUAUCUCCUGCAUAGAGGGUAUAUUGAUAGACUAUUAAAAAAAAUAAGAAAAAGAAAUCAAGUUUUGGAGAAUUUAACUACACAGUUAUAUUAAGAAUGAAAAAUAAAACCUUGUUUAAUAAGAUGUCAAGUUGGCAUAGGUGAAGUAAUCUGCAUAUUGUAAUUUAGCAGACACCUUUUGUUGCCUUUAAGCUUGCAUUAUUUUUGACAAUAAAAAAGCCUUAAUCUAUAUCUUCAUUUGCUUUUGUGUUGAAUGUAAAUGAGACAACGCAUGUAUCCUCUUCCAUAUCAAGGACUUUGGUUUCCGGUUCAAUCAUGUACAAAAUCAUAGUAUAGUUUUAUAUCUUCCCAGAGCAAACAGUUAGUUUGCAUUGUCAUCCCGUCAUAUACGAAUUUAAACAUGGACCUGUACGAAAACACGACAGAAUACAAAUUCGAUGAUCCAUGCUAUGAAAAUGGAGACACUCUGAAAGAAAAACAAAAACUACGAUUCGUUGAUAAUCACGAAAACGACACAAAAACGGUGCCUGUGUCUACAUGUUAUAAAUUCACAGGAAAUUUUAAUGAUACCGAAGACAAUUUGAAAACUAAAAGAACUACUCGUACAUAUCAUUGCUGCUGCUGUUUUCUUGGUUUUACAGUAGGAUGUGUAUUUGCGACUGGUGUCUGUGUCUCGAUAUAUUAUUUUCUCUUGCCUUAUUUAGUCCCAUUAUCAAAAGGUACACACAUGGGGUGUUUGGAAGGUUGGCAGCGGUACAAAGGAAACUGUUAUUUCUUCAGCACAUUCAAUCUGUCAUGGACAGACGCACAGACAAAUUGUACCAAUAUGUUAUCCCAUUUGACUGAUGUAAAUGACUUAGAAGAAGCUCUCUAUUUUGCAUCAUUGACAGAGUUAUUUAUAAG
This is a long non-coding RNA of Mytilus californianus (California mussel), 964 nucleotides long. RefSeq lists it as uncharacterized. The transcript is spliced from 3 exons. NCBI's taxonomy places the organism in Eukaryota, Metazoa, Mollusca, Bivalvia, Mytilida, Mytilidae. The record is from RefSeq and is a predicted model, not a curated record.